AGAACGAACGCUGGCGGCGUGGAUAAGACAUGCAAGUCGAACGUGAUUUCGGAUGUAGCAAUACAGUCGAAGUCAAGUGGCGCAAGGGUGAGUAACACGUGGGUAAUUUGCCGGAAAGUGGGGAAUAGCUCGCCGAAAGGCGAAUUAAUACCGCAUGUGGCCAUUCUCCGCAUGGAGAAAAAGCCAAAGCUGGGGAUCGCAAGACCUGGCGCUUUCUGAUGAGCCCGCGGCCUAUCAGCUUGUUGGCGGGGUAACGGCCCACCAAGGCUAUGACGGGUAGCUGGUCUGAGAGGACGACCAGUCACACUGGAACUGAGACACGGUCCAGACACCUACGGGUGCAGCAGUCGAGAAUCUUUCUCAAUGGGAAACCCUGAAGGAGCGACGCCGCGUGGAGGAUGAAGGUCUUCGGAUCGUAAACUCCUGUCAUGAGAGAACAAGGUCGUUAGGUUAAUAGCGGACGAAUUGAUAGUAUCUACAAGAGGAAGAGACGGCUAAC
This 499-nucleotide ribosomal RNA is filed under the name uncultured soil bacterium. RNAcentral describes it as "bacterial SSU rRNA". It matches the Rfam family "Bacterial small subunit ribosomal RNA", at positions 26 to 501 of the family's 1533-position model. The record is from RNAcentral.